This 324-nucleotide ribosomal RNA is filed under the name uncultured eukaryote. Its description in RNAcentral is "partial 18S ribosomal RNA". It matches the Rfam family "Eukaryotic small subunit ribosomal RNA", at positions 1470 to 1796 of the family's 1831-position model. The record is from RNAcentral.
CCCUUAGAUGUUCUGGGCUGCACGCGCGCUACACUGAAGCUAUCAACACGUUUUCCCUCCCUGAGAAGGGCGGGUAACCUUUUGAAUCAGCUUCGUGGUAGGGAUCGGGGCUUGCAAUUGUUCCCCGUGAACCAGGAAUUCCUAGUAGAAGCGAGUCAUAAGCUCGCAUCGAUUAAGUCCCUGCCCUUUGUACACACCGCCCGUCGCUACUACCGAUUGAACGUUUUAGUGAGGCAUUUGGACCGACGCAUCUCAGUUUAACCGCUGGUUUGUGUUGGAAAGACUUCCAAACUUGAGCGUUUAGAGGAAGUAAAAGUCGUAACA